AUUGAACGCUGGCGGCAGGCCUAACACAUGCAAGUCGAACGGUAACAGGAAACGGCUUGCUGUUUCGCGGACGCGUGGCGGACGGGUGAGUAAUGUAUGGGAGACUGUCUUAUGGCGGGGGAUAACUACUGGAAACGGUAGCUAAUACCGCAUAAAGUCGCAAGAGCAAAGAGGGGGGCCUUCGCGCCACUUGCCAUCGGCUGUGCCCAGAUGGGAUUAGCUAGUAGGUGGGGUAACAGCUCACCUAGGCGACGAUCCCUAGCUGGUCUGAGAGGAUGACCAGCCACACUGGAACUGAGACACGGUCCAGACUCCUACGGGAGGCAGCAGUGGGGAAUAUUGCACAAUGGGCGCAAGCCUGAUGCAGCCAUGCCGCGUGUGUGAAGAAGGCCUUCGGGUUGUAAAGUACUUUCAGCGGGGAGGAAGGGAGUCAAGUUAAUACCUUUACUCAUUGACGUUACCCGCAGAAGAAGCACCGGCUAACUCCGUG
This 490-nucleotide ribosomal RNA is filed under the name uncultured bacterium. RNAcentral describes it as "partial 16S ribosomal RNA". It matches the Rfam family "Bacterial small subunit ribosomal RNA", at positions 30 to 507 of the family's 1533-position model. The record is from RNAcentral.